This 771-nucleotide ribosomal RNA is filed under the name uncultured bacterium. RNAcentral describes it as "bacterial SSU rRNA". It matches the Rfam family "Bacterial small subunit ribosomal RNA", at positions 8 to 796 of the family's 1533-position model. The record is from RNAcentral.
AGAGUUUGAUCCUGGCUCAGGACGAACGCUGGCGGCGUGCUUAACACAUGCAAGUCGAACGGAAAGGCCCUUCGGGGUACUCGAGUGGCGAACGGGUGAGUAACACGUGGGUGAUCUGCCCUGCACUUUGGGAUAAGCCUGGGAAACUGGGUCUAAUACCGAAUAUGGCCAUGCACUUCCUGGUGUGUGGUGGAAAGCUUUUGCGGUGUGGGAUGGGCCCGCGGCCUAUCAGCUUGUUGGUGGGGUAAUGGCCUACCAAGGCGACGACGGGUAGCCGGCCUGAGAGGGUGACCGGCCACACUGGGACUGAGAUGCGGCCCAGACUCCUACGGGAGGCAGCAGUGGGGAAUAUUGCACAAUGGGCGCAAGCCUGAUGCAGCGACGCCGCGUGAGGGAUGACGGCCUUCGGGUUGUAAACCUCUUUCAGCACAGACGAAGCGCAAGUGACGGUAUGUGCAGAAGAAGGACCGGCCAACUACGUGCCAGCAGCCGCGGUAAUACGUAGGGUCCGAGCGUUGUCCGGAAUUACUGGGCGUAAAGAGCUCGUAGGUGGUUUGUCGCGUUGUUCGUGAAAACUCACAGCUUAACUGUGGGCGUGCGGGCGAUACGGGCAGACUUGAGUACUGCAGGGGAGACUGGAAUUCCUGGUGUAGCGGUGGAAUGCGCAGAUAUCAGGAGGAACACCGGUGGCGAAGGCGGGUCUCUGGGCAGUAACUGACGCUGAGGAGCGAAAGCGUGGGGAGCGAACAGGAUUAGAUACCCUGGUAGUCC